AAACCAAUCCAAAAAAGUGUCAGGUGCAAUCUGGCCAAAAUCCUGAUCAUGUCGAAAAUCAAAUCAUUUUGACGGAUACUUAGGCUAUAACCAGAUCAUGAUUCCACUGAAGGGCCAGGAGAAAACAACUUUCACAUGCCCUUAUAGAACAUUCUCAUUCCGUCGAAUGUCGUACGGUUUGUGUAACGCACCUACUACGUUCCAGCGGUGUAUGAUGGCAAUUUUUUCUAACAUUAUUGAAAAUGUGAUUGAAAUUUUUAUGGAUGACUUUUCGGUAUUUGGGGAGUCUUUUGAGAAUUGUCUUAAAAAUCUUGAAAAAGUUUUGGAGAGAUGUGAAAAAACAAACCUUGUUUUAAAUUGGGAGAAAUGUUAUUUCAUGGUAAAAGAAGGUAUUGUUUUGGGUCACAAAAUUUCAAACAAAGGAAUGGAAGUAGAUCGAGCUAAAAUUGAGUUAAUUUCAAAACUUCCACCACCCUCGUCAGUUAAAGGUAUUCGAAGUUUUUUCGGCCAUGCUGGAUUUUAUCAUCGUUUUAUCAAAGACUUUGUUAAAAUAUCAAAACCUUUAUGCCGUAUUUUUGAAAUUGAGAGGCCAUUUGAAUUUGAUGAAGAAUGCAUGAAUUCAUUUGAGACUCUUAGGAAGGUAUUAAGUUCAGCACCUAUCAUAGUAGAACAUGACUGAAAUAUACCAUUUGAGGUAAUGUGUGACGUGAGUGACUUUGCAUUAGGAGCCAUGUUAGGGUAGAGAAAAAAAUAAAAUUUUGCAUCUAGUUUACUAUGCCAGUAAGACUUUAGCUGCAACACAGCUUAACUAUACUACCACAGAGAAAGAACUGUUAGUUGUUGUGUUUGCCUUUGAAAAAUUUAGAUCAUAUUUGAUAGGUUAUAAAGUUAUUGUUUUUACUGAUCAUUCUGCUUUGAAGUAUUUGUUUGCUAAGAAAGACACGAAGCCAAGGUUGAUUCGGUGGAUUUUACUUCUUCAAGAAUUCGACUUAGAGAUUCGAGAUAUGGAAGGUACAGAGAAACAGGUGGCAGACCAUUUGUCUCGAUUGGAAUCCACUGACCUAAACACCCAUCAGCAAUCAAGGAAUACUUCAUCGAUGAGCACAUCCUUUGUAUUGAUAACAUCCCAUGGUGUGCAGAUAUUGCUAACUUUUUGGUUGUAGCUGACAAGGAACAAGCAAAAAUCCUGGAAGCAUGCCAUACAUCCUCGUAUGGUGCGAACUUUGUUGGUCGAAAAACUGCAACAAAGGUGAAGAAUCUCAUUAUGAAAUUAUUAUCUAUUAUACAUUUGGGGUGGGCCAACUCUUCAUUGGGGUCUCGUAUAACACCUACCACCGGACACAGAGCUGUGAUCAGAACCCGUGACCAAGAAUGCCUUUGGUGGCACCUCAUCCGAAUGUGGCGUAUGGAAUGGAAAAUAAAUGUGCCUACAUCGAUCGUUUUUCUUGGACAUAAAGAAGGAUCGCCCUCUCCUUAGUAAUAUUACUCAUGUGGGCCACAAGCAAUAAUUUAGCACAAAUAAAACAUCGUUACACUCUGUUGGUUUAA
This is a long non-coding RNA of Momordica charantia (bitter melon), 1548 nucleotides long. RefSeq lists it as uncharacterized. NCBI's taxonomy places the organism in Eukaryota, Viridiplantae, Streptophyta, Magnoliopsida, Cucurbitales, Cucurbitaceae. The record is from RefSeq and is a predicted model, not a curated record.